AGCGAACGCUGGCGGUAUGCUUAACACAUGCAAGUCGAGCGCGAAAGUGACUUCGGUCAUGAGUAGAGCGGCGGACGGGUGAGUAACACGUGGAUAAUCUGCCUUUAGGACUGGGAUAACCCUGGGAAACUAGGGCUAAUACCGGAUAAGACCACAGGUUCCAUGGAACCAGGGGUAAAAGGCGGCCUUCGGGCUGUCGCCGAAAGAUGAGUCCGCGUCCCAUCAGGUAGUUGGUGAGGAACGGCUCACCAAGCCGAAGACGGGUAGCCGACCUUAGCGGGUGAUCGGCCACACGGGGACUGAGACACGGCCCCGACUCCUACGGGA
This 327-nucleotide ribosomal RNA is filed under the name uncultured bacterium. Its description in RNAcentral is "bacterial SSU rRNA". It matches the Rfam family "Bacterial small subunit ribosomal RNA", at positions 29 to 346 of the family's 1533-position model. The record is from RNAcentral.